CCAAUAGCGUAUAUUAAAGUUGUUGCAGUUAAAAAGCUCGUAGUUGAAUUUCGGAAUCUGUCCGUUGGUCGGGCUUCAUUGUCCGUACUGGUGUGAUGGGUUCUUACCUUCUGAAUAACCAGCAUGCCAUUCAUUUGGUGCGCUGGGGAAGCAGGACUAUUACCUUGAAAAAAUUAGAGUGCUCAAAGCAGGCUAGUGCCUGAAUACAUUAGCAUGGAAUAAUAAAAUAGGACGGCAUGGUUCUAUUUUGUUGGUUUCUAGGAUCACCGUAAUGAUUAAUAGGGAUAGUUGGGGGCAUUAGUAUUCAAUUGUCAGAGGUGAAAUUCUUGGAUUUAUUGAAGACUAACUUCUGCGAAAGCAUUUGCCAAGGAUGUUUUCAUUAAUCAAGAACGAAAGUUAGGGGAUCGAAGACGAUCAGAUACCGUCGUAGUCUUAACCAUAAACUAUGCCGACUAGGGAUCGGACGAUGUUAAUUUUUUAAUGACUCGUUCGGCGCCUUAC
RNAcentral lists this ribosomal RNA (501 nucleotides) under uncultured Glomeromycotina. RNAcentral's name for it is "partial small subunit ribosomal RNA". It matches the Rfam family "Eukaryotic small subunit ribosomal RNA", at positions 591 to 1091 of the family's 1831-position model. The record is from RNAcentral. Lineage: Eukaryota; Fungi; Glomeromycota.